Molecule: ribosomal RNA, 254 nt
Filed under: uncultured bacterium
Lineage: Bacteria
Description: partial 16S ribosomal RNA
Rfam family: Bacterial small subunit ribosomal RNA
Source: RNAcentral
UACGGGGGGAGCAAGCGUUGUUCGGAUUUACUGGGCGUAAAGGGCGCGUAGGCGGUCGUGACAAGUCACUUGUGAAAUCUCCGGGCUUAACUCGGAACGGUCAAGUGAUACUGUCGGACUAGAGUACAGAAGGGGCAACUGGAAUUCUCGGUGUAGCGGUGAAAUGCGCAGAUAUCAGGAGGAACACCGGUGGCGAAGGCGGGUCUCUGGGCCGAUACUGACGCUCAUGCACGAAAGCGUGGGGAGCAAACAGG